This 404-nucleotide ribosomal RNA is filed under the name uncultured bacterium. RNAcentral describes it as "partial 16S ribosomal RNA". It matches the Rfam family "Bacterial small subunit ribosomal RNA", at positions 355 to 776 of the family's 1533-position model. RNAcentral also lists the same sequence under 2 other names. The record is from RNAcentral.
UGGGGAAUAUUGGACAAUGGGCGCAAGCCUGAUCCAGCCAUGCCGCGUGUGUGAUGAAGGCCUUAGGGUUGUAAAGCACUUUUGUCCGGGAAGAUAAUGACUGUACCGGAAGAAUAAGCCCCGGCUAACUUCGUGCCAGCAGCCGCGGUAAUACGAAGGGGGCUAGCGUUGCUCGGAAUCACUGGGCGUAAAGGGCGCGUAGGCGGACUCUUAAGUCGGGGGUGAAAGCCCAGGGCUCAACCCUGGAAUUGCCUUCGAUACUGAGAGUCUUGAGUUCGGAAGAGGUUGGUGGAACUGCGAGUGUAGAGGUGAAAUUCGUAGAUAUUCGCAAGAACACCAGUGGCGAAGGCGGCCAACUGGUCCGAUACUGACGCUGAGGCGCGAAAGCGUGGGGAGCAAACAGG